This is a long non-coding RNA of Poecilia latipinna (sailfin molly), 848 nucleotides long. RefSeq lists it as uncharacterized. Lineage: Eukaryota; Metazoa; Chordata; Actinopteri; Cyprinodontiformes; Poeciliidae. The transcript is spliced from 6 exons. The record is from RefSeq and is a predicted model, not a curated record.
GGGCCCUCCCUCACCUGGUUGACAUCACGUUGUUUUCCUUCCGGUUCAGACCUCGGCGUUUGUGGCGCUGCAUGCUAACCGCAAAUUAAUGCGCUUAACGACGCUCUGAUCGCCGAUCCAUCGUCCUUGUGCAUUUCUCCCAUGAAGCUUAAUUUCUGCAAAUGAAUUUCAACUGAGCCGAUCAGCCAACAGAAGGACCUGUAAACAAAAACGUACAUUUUCUCAACUGGAACUCAGAAGUUCAAGGCCAGUGAGGUUCAGAGGAAACCAGCUGAUGUGUCUCCUGCCUGCAAAGACAGCGAGGAAUCCUGAAUGAUCCUCUGGAAACCCGAAGCUCCUGGGGGCCGUCUGCAGACGUUCUGGGCUCCAUGAGGCCCUGAAUGCAGCCAAACUGAUCCAGAGACAUCAGCAGCUGUUAAGUCUUUUAGUGAAAAUCUCAGACUGGAUGAUAAAUGAAGAUCAGAGUAGAUGUUUAGGGUUUAAGAAAAGUAGAACUCACCAUCACUGGUCACCGGGGACGGACCUGCAUCAAUAAAAAAAACAUUAGUUUCUGACCAAGUCCAUCUGAACAGGAUAACUCAGCCGAUCUGAAGGUAAAUAAGAUGUUUAAUCCACAUUUUUACCUGCUUGGAUGCAUUUUAGCUCCCAGCCUGAACUGAAACUGAUAUCAGCUUUGAACUGACAGAUUUCUGCUCAAUCAGCCUGACAGCUUUAAAACUGAACGUGAAAACUAUUGUCGGAUAUAAAGUAAAAACUUUGUAGUUGUGACUGAAGCACAGCUGCACAUCACCGAACAAGCUGACUAAAGAUGGCUGGGAAUAAUUUACUUAAACAGAAUAAAGAAGAAG